GGGGAUUUAGCUCAGUGGCAUAAGCUCCUGCCUUGCAAGUACGUGGUCGUGAGUUCAAUCCCCA
Molecule: non-coding RNA, 64 nt
Organism: Cavia porcellus (domestic guinea pig)
Lineage: Eukaryota; Metazoa; Chordata; Mammalia; Rodentia; Caviidae
Source: Rfam